Molecule: ribosomal RNA, 741 nt
Filed under: uncultured bacterium
Lineage: Bacteria
Description: bacterial SSU rRNA
Rfam family: Bacterial small subunit ribosomal RNA
Source: RNAcentral
AGAGUUUGAUCAUGGCUCAGAACGAACGCUGGCGGCAUGCCUAACACAUGCAAGUCGAACGAGGGCUUCGGCCCUAGUGGCGCACGGGUGAGUAACGCGUGGGACCUGCCCUGUGGUACGGAAUAACUCCGGGAAACUGGAGCUAAUACCGUAUGCGUCCUGCGGGACAAAGAUUUAUCGCCAUGGGAUGGGCCCGCGUAGGAUUAGCUUGUUGGCGGGGUAACGGCCCACCAAGGCUACGAUCCUUAGCUAGUCUGAGAGGAUGAUCAGCCACACUGGGACUGAGACACGGCCCAGACUCCUACGGGAGGCAGCAGUGGGGAAUAUUGGACAAUGGGCGCAAGCCUGAUCCAGCAAUGCCGCGUGAGUGAUGAAGGCCUUCGGGUUGUAAAGCUCUUUCGCACGCGACGAUGAUGACGGUAGCGUGAGAAGAAGCCCCGGCUAACUUCGUGCCAGCAGCCGCGGUAAUACGAAGGGGGCUAGCGUUGUUCGGAAUUACUGGGCGUAAAGGGCGCGUAGGCGGUGCAUCAAGUCAGGCGUGAAAGCCCCGGGCUCAACCUGGGAACCGCGCUUGAGACUGGUGCGCUAGAGUUCGGGAGAGGAUGGUGGAAUUCCCAGUGUAGAGGUGAAAUUCGUAGAUAUUGGGAAGAACACCGAUGGCGAAGGCAGCCAUCUGGACCGACACUGACGCUGAGGCGCGAAAGCGUGGGGAGCAAACAGGAUUAGAUACCCUAGUAGUCC